GUUAUAUGGUCAAGCGAAUAAGCGCACACGGUGGAUGCCUUGGCGGUCAGAGGCGAUGAAGGACGUGGCAGCCUGCGAAAAGUAUCGGGGAGCUGGCAACAAGCUUUGAUCCGGUAAUGUCCGAAUGGGGAAACCCACCCGCUUGCGGGUAUCCUGCAGUGAAUACAUAGCUGCUGGAAGCGAACCUGGUGAACUGAAAUAUCUAAGUAACCAGAGGAAAAGAAAUCAACCGAGAUUCCGUAAGUAGCGACGAGCGAACGCGGACUAGCCCUUAAGCUGAUUUGGUUCUAGGAAAACGCUCUGGAAAGAGCGGCCAUAGAAGGUGAUAGCCCUGUAUCUGAAAGGGCCAUUUCAGUGAAGACGAGUAGGGCGGGGCACGUGAAACCCUGUCUGAACAUGGGGGGACCAUCCUCCAAGGCUAAAUACUACUGACCGACCGAUAGUGAACCAGUACCGUGAGGGAAAGGCGAAAAGAACCCCGGAGAGGGGAGUGAAAUAGAUCCUGAAACCGUGUGCGUACAAGCAGUAGGAGCUCCGCAAGGAGUGACUGCGUACCUUUUGUAUAAUGGGUCAGCGACUUACUGUUCGUGGCAAGCUUAACCGUAUAGGGGAGGCGAAGGGAAACCGAGUCUGAUAAGGGCGCAUAGUCGCGGGCAGUAGACCCGAAACCGGGUGAUCUAGUCAUGGCCAGGGUGAAGGUGCCGUAACAGGUACUGGAGGCCCGAACCCACGUCUGUUGCAAAAGACGGGGAUGAGCUGUGAUUAGGAGUGAAAAGCUAAUCGAACCCGGAGAUAGCUGGUUCUCCUCGAAAGCUAUUUAGGUAGCGCCUCAUAUGUAUCCUCUCGGGGGUAGAGCACUGUUAUGGCUAGGGGGUCAUCGCGACUUACCAAACCAUUGCAAACUCCGAAUACCGAGACGGACUGUAUGGGAGACACACGGCGGGUGCUAACGUCCGUCGUGAAAAGGGAAACAACCCAGACCCACAGCUAAGGUCCCAAAUUCACUGCUAAGUGGAAAACCAUGUGGAAAGGCACAGACAGCCAGGAGGUUGGCUUAGAAGCAGCCACCCUUUAAAGAAAGCGUAAUAGCUCACUGGUCGAGUCGGUCUGCGGGGAAGAUUUAACGGGGCUAAGCAGUGAACCGAAGCUUGGGGUGUGCAUAUUUAUAUGUACGCGGUAGAGGAGCGUUCCGUAAGCCGUUGAAGGUGGAUUGAGAAGUCUGCUGGAGGUAUCGGAAGUGCGAAUGCUGACAUGAGUAACGAUAAUGCGGGUGAAAAACCCGCACGCCGAAAGCCCAAGGUUUCCUUGCGCAACGUUAAUCGGCGCAGGGUGAGUCGGCCCCUAAGGCGAGGACGAAAGUCGUAGUCGAUGGGAAGCAGGUUAAUAUUCCUGCACCUCGCGUAAGUGCGAUGGAGGGACGGAGAAGGUUAGGUGUACCAGGCGUUGGUUGUCCUGGGGAAAGGCGGUAGGUUUGGAUCUUUGGCAAAUCCGGGAUCCUUUAAGACCGAGCACCGAGACGAGCCUUUAUGGCGAAGUCACUGAUACCACGCUUCCAGGAAAAGCUCCUAAGCUUCAGCUUACGCAGACCGUACCGUAAACCGACACAGGUGGGUAGGAUGAGAAUUCUCAGGCGCUUGAGAGAACUCGGGUGAAGGAACUAGGCAACAUGGCACCGUAACUUCGGGAGAAGGUGCACCCUUUUUGGUGGCUCGUGCGAGCUAUAGCUGAAGAGGGUCGCAGUAACCAGGCCGCUGCGACUGUUUAUCAAAAACACAGCACUCUGCAAACACGAAAGUGGACGUAUAGGGUGUGACGCCUGCCCGGUGCUGGAAGGUUAAUUGAUGGGGUCAGCCGAAAGGCGAAGCUCUUGAUCGAAGCCCCAGUAAACGGCGGCCGUAACUAUAACGGUCCUAAGGUAGCGAAAUUCCUUGUCGGGUAAGUUCCGACCUGCACGAAUGGCGUAACGACAGCGGCGCUGUCUCCACCCGAGACUCAGUGAAAUUGAAAUCGCUGUGAAGAUGCAGCGUUCCCGUGGCAAGACGGAAAGACCCCGUGAACCUUUACUAUAGCUUUACACUGAACGUUGAGUUCGUCUGUGUAGGAUAGGUGGGAGGCUAUGAAACUGUGGCGCUAGCUGCAGUGGAGCCAUCCUUGAAAUACCACCCUGUCGUGCUUGACGUUCUAACCUGGGCCCAUUAUCUGGGUCGGGGACCGUGUAUGGUGGGUAGUUUGACUGGGGCGGUCUCCUCCUAAAGAGUAACGGAGGAGCUCGAAGGUACGCUCAGCGCGGUCGGACAUCGCGCACUGUGUGCAAAGGCAUAAGCGUGCUUGACUGCAAGAUCGACGGAUCAAGCAGGUAGGAAACUAGGACUUAGUGAUCCGGUGGUUCUGUAUGGAAGGGCCAUCGCUCAACGGAUAAAAGGUACUCCGGGGAUAACAGGCUGAUACCGCCCAAGAGUUCAUAUCGACGGCGGUGUUUGGCACCUCGAUGUCGGCUCAUCACAUCCUGGGGCUGUAGUCGGUCCCAAGGGUAUGGCUGUUCGCCAUUUAAAGUGGUACGCGAGCUGGGUUCAGAACGUCGUGAGACAGUUCGGUCCCUAUCUGCCAUGGGCGUUGGAGAUUUGAGAGGGGCUGCUCCUAGUACGAGAGGACCGGAGUGGACGAACCUCUGGUGUUCCGGUUGUCACGCCAGUGGCAUUGCCGGGUAGCUAUGUUCGGAAGCGAUAACCGCUGAAAGCAUCUAAGCGGGAAGCGCGCCUCAAGAUGAGAUCUCCCGGGGCACAAGCCCCCUGAAGGAACCAUAUAGACUAUGUGGUUGAUAGGUCAGGUGUGUAAGUACAGCAAUGUAUUGAGCUAACUGAUACUAAUGAUCCGUGUGGCUUGACCAUAUAACCUCA
RNAcentral lists this ribosomal RNA (2897 nucleotides) under Stenotrophomonas sp. ZAC14A_NAIMI4_1. RNAcentral describes it as "23S ribosomal RNA". It matches the Rfam family "Bacterial large subunit ribosomal RNA". The record is from RNAcentral. Lineage: Bacteria; Pseudomonadati; Pseudomonadota; Gammaproteobacteria; Lysobacterales; Lysobacteraceae.